This 435-nucleotide ribosomal RNA is filed under the name uncultured bacterium. RNAcentral's name for it is "bacterial SSU rRNA". It matches the Rfam family "Bacterial small subunit ribosomal RNA", at positions 958 to 1392 of the family's 1533-position model. The record is from RNAcentral.
AACGCGAAGAACCUUACCUACUCUUGACAUCCAGAGAACUUUCCAGAGAUGGAUUGGUGCCUUCGGGAACUCUGAGACAGGUGCUGCAUGGCUGUCGUCAGCUCGUGUUGUGAAAUGUUGGGUUAAGUCCCGCAACGAGCGCAACCCUUAUCCUUGUUUGCCAGCGAGUAAUGUCGGGAACUCCAGGGAGACUGCCGGUGAUAAACCGGAGGAAGGUGGGGACGACGUCAAGUCAUCAUGGCCCUUACGAGUAGGGCUACACACGUGCUACAAUGGCGCAUACAGAGGGCGGCCAACUUGCGAAAGUGAGCGAAUCCCAAAAAGUGCGUCGUAGUCCGGAUUGGAGUCUGCAACUCGACUCCAUGAAGUCGGAAUCGCUAGUAAUCGUGGAUCAGAAUGCCACGGUGAAUACGUUCCCGGGCCUUGUACACACCG